GUGAGAAAUAUUGGUCAAUGGGCGCAAGCCUGAACCAGCCAUGCCGCGUGCAGGAAGACGGUCCUAUGGAUUGUAAACUGCUUUUAUUUGGGAAUAAACUCCGGUACGUGUACCGGCCUGAAGGUACCAAAUGAAUAAGCACCGGCUAACUCCGUGCCAGCAGCCGCGGUAAUACGGAGGGUGCAAGCGUUAUCCGGAAUCAUUGGGUUUAAAGGGUCCGCAGGCGGUCUUAUAAGUCAGUGGUGAAAGCCUACAGCUCAACUGUAGAACUGCCAUUGAUACUGUAGGACUUGAAUUCGAUCGAAGUGGGCGGAAUGUGACAUGUAGCGGUGAAAUGCUUAGAUAUGUCACAGAACACCGAUAGCGAAGGCAGCUCACUAGGUCUGGAUUGACGCUCAGGGACGAAAGCGUGGGGAGCAAACAGGAUUAGAAACCCGGGUAGUCC
Molecule: ribosomal RNA, 445 nt
Filed under: uncultured bacterium
Lineage: Bacteria
Description: partial 16S ribosomal RNA
Rfam family: Bacterial small subunit ribosomal RNA
Source: RNAcentral